CUUAGUACUACAAAAAAUUCUAAAUCUGUGAUAUAUGAUUGAUAAACGUAAAGUUAACUGUAUAAACGUGUUCAAUGACUUUGUUACUUUUGAUGAUUGGAGAGCACUCGCUUCAAUUCGCACACGAAAACUUUAGACUCAGUUUGAAUGCUCACGCGGCAUGCCCACGUGACUGUACGUUGCACGCGUACAUGACUUUCCGUUUGUUCCUUGAAUAAUGAAUAAGGCUACGUCCACACGUACCAGCGUAUUUUUGAAACCGCUGAUUUUUCUAUGCGUUUGCACCUUUUGUCCACACGUAAUGUAUGUCUGGCUGUACAUUGUGUUUGUAUUUCCAGGCACAUUUCACGAAGCAGAACGCAGUCUUCAGAGAUAUCCACGUGAACGCUGUGAUACGUCUGACCUUCAGUCCGAAGAAGAAACCCAGACCAGUCUUAAAAGAAAGCACAAACCAAAUCCCCUGUACACAUAUACGGACUCAGAGGAUGAGCAGCCUACAAAAAAACGGUUUCCCCAGGCCCCUCGAGUGAAAAUACCAGCCCUCAUCACUCUGCAGUCUGCCCCCCAGCCCACUGAUAGCAACCAUCAUAAUGCCCCACCCAGCUUCCGGCACCUUUCGCCACUCCGGCACAAGCCGACACAGCUUUGCGAUCUCGCCAGCAUGCAGAGUCUGAUGUCUUCCCUAUAGAUGAUUCCAGAGACUCUGUGAGGCCACUAUUACAAGGCAAGUUUGAAAAUCUUGGAAUUUCACAGUUUACAUGGUAUAACAAAUAUAUGUGACAGGCAAAAACUAGUAAACACUUUUAGCAGUUACAAGAACUAACAAAUGAAUAUCCAACAAAAGGGAAUAGAAAUACAUUGUACUGCCAAUACUUUGGUUUAUUCUUUGUAUGACUUGAAAAUCAGGCUUUAGGGAAAACUAAAUGACAUGUUUCUAUCAUCAAUUACAUGAAGUAAACACACAAGCACUUGCAUACACAUUUAAGACAUGAGACACGCUAAUUCCAUCUCAUAAAAUGUGUCUAUAGGUGAGACGCUUUGUGUUGAUUGGUGCUGCUGGACCACACUGGAGGUGCGAGUCCGCCGUGUAAUGGUUUAUGCCAUUACAAAGGAGCUGGCCUCUGUACUCAGCUGGGCAGGGAAAAAAAACCAAGGACCAGACAAAGCAAAAAAGGGCAUUUAAAGAGACAGCGCUGUGCAGAUGCAUAUUUGGUAAGUUUUAACAUUUAUUUUAGUUUUAUGAGCCUAAAGUGAACAAUAAAGGGAUCAAUUGAUGUGCUGGGUGCGUUUCACAUUUCCUAUGUCUGGUUUUUGCUAUAUUACUUUGUCUUUCUUAAUAACAAGACUUUCAUGUCCGGUUAAUCUGGAGAUGGAGUCUUUGGUUUUCGGCUUGUUUUGUCCUCGGGUUGUACACUUUGUACAGCCCGAGGACCCCAUGUUUUCUUUUUUUUUUUAAAAAGGAUACACGGCACACCAUGCUAAGACAUAUCACAUUUUCAGCUUAUAGCUCUUUGGGAAUCAAAUGCGGCAGUUUGCUGAUUUCCGCCUGGUGACUUUCAUGUUUAUCAGCCUAGGAGUUUACAUACUUUCUCCCUGCUGAAGACAAUUAACAAGAGCUUAUUCAUGUGCUCUAAUUCCCUUUUUUUGUCUUUGUUUUUUUUGUGUGUGUGUGUCUAUUUUUGUCCUAGAUGGCCUGACGCAGCAGGUAGGGGCGAACUCUAUGUCUGAGUUGGUCUUUGCUCAAGCAGUCCAGAAAUGGCUCAGAUAUGCUCCAGAUCGUACGGGUGGCGCGCAGGACGCACAUCAUCCGUCCCCAUCCCGGAGUAAACAAUAAAAAGUGACGUGAAACAUAGAAAUGUAAAUAGGAAACUUUGUCUUUUAAUAAAGUAUUUUGCAAAUGAUACAUGUCUAUUGACCUUUUUUGUUUUUUUGUUUUUUUUCAAUAAAAAGCAACUGUGCGAAAGAGGUGGAAAAUCAAUACCAUAGCUCAACAGUGUUUCAAUAUCAGAAUCUGACAUUGUUUCAAUGUCAACAGUGUUAGAAAAUAUAACGUAGAAUCAAUGUCAGGUUUCAACAUUGAUUCAACAUCAAAACCUGACGUUGUUUCAACGUUAAAAAUGGGUGCAAGAGUGAUGUUGGGUCAACGUCACACUUCAACGUUGCUUCAAUGACGUCGCCUGAUAUUGACUCAACAUUGUUUCAAUGUUUCCUUGCUAUCUGGGAAAGACCUAAUUCCCCUAAGGUAAGAGCCCAGCUCAGGGAUUGCACGUUGCCCGACUAAUAUUGCACCAGCCCGUUGAAAAUAAAAACAAACCCGGCAUAAAAAACAAUUUUAAAAGGUGACCCUGCUAAAACCAGAAACGCAACAAAAAGAGGAAAAAACAGUGACAAAUUCACAUGUGCAGCCUGUCCUGCAGGAGGCAAUGCAAUAUAAAUUAGAUUAUAGUGUAUAAAUAUACUUUUUUUAAUGUCAAAUAUAUUAAGUUAACAUACCUCCAGCAGACAACUGUGUUUGCUGCACACCUGACUUAUCUUGGCUUAUCUUCUAAAAUCACUACUAAAAACAUAAAAUACAAUAAACAUCAAAUACAUUUCAACAAAUUUAAAAAAGCACUAAAUGAAAAACAGCCUGUACCUCAAACCUCUGGGGUCUGUUUCAGAAAGCGGGUUUAGAAAACUCAGAGUUAAAAAUAAUACUCAGGGUUGAGUAACCCCGAGCAGUCCAACUCGGAAUAUUCGGUUUCAGAAAGGCUGAUAACAAUUAGUUCAAUCAACGCGGAGUUGCUUUAACCCCAAGUUAAGCGCGCGCACUAGGAUACAUAAAGCCCUGUUUAGUGGAGCACAGAUUAAGCGAGUCACCAUGGAGACGGAGGGAAAGAAGGCGCGGUUAAUGUAUUUUACAGCGCUUGAGGCCGAAAUUCUGAUGGCAGCAUAUGCCGAUAACAUGCAAAUUUUGCGGAAAAAAAGUAACACAGCCUCAACUGCAAAAGAAAGGGAGC
RNAcentral lists this long non-coding RNA (2999 nucleotides) under Oreochromis niloticus (Nile tilapia). RNAcentral's name for it is "lncRNA (ENSONIG00000040295.1)". The record is from RNAcentral. Lineage: Eukaryota; Metazoa; Chordata; Actinopteri; Cichliformes; Cichlidae.